GAAUUUGAUCUUGGUUCAGAUUGAAUGCUUACGGCGUGGAUGAGGCAUGCAAGUCGAACGAGGUGAAAUUGUGUAUUUAUAUACAAAUUCACCUAGUGGCGGAAGGGUUAGUAAUAAAUGAAUAAUCUACCUUAUACAUGAGGAUAACCAUGGGAAACUGUGGCUAAAAGUUAAUGAGGUGAAUUAAGGCAUCUUAAUUACAUCAAAAGUAGGUUCUAGCAAUAGACUACCGGUAUAAGAGGGGUUCAUUGGAUAUCAGCUAGUUGGUGAGGUAAAAGCUUACCAAGGCUAAGACGUCUAGGCGGGCUGAGAGGUUGACCGCCAACACUGGGACUGAGACACUGCCCAGACUUUUACGGGAGGCUGCAGUCGAGAAUCAUUCGCAAUGGGGGAAACCCUGACGAUGCGACGCCGUGUAAACGAAGAAGGCCUUAGGGUUGUAAAGUUUUUUUAGUUGGGAGAAAGGUUAUAAAUUGAAAAGAUAUAUAACUUGAUAGUACCAGCAGAAUAAGCACCGGCUAACUCCGUGCCAGCAGCUGCGGUAAUACGGAGGGUGCCAGCAUUAAUCGGAAUUAUUGGGCGUAAAGGGCGCGUAGGUGGAAAUAUAAGUUCAAUAUGAAAGAGUCAGGCUUAACCUGAUAAACAUAUUGAAAACUAUAUGUCUAGAGGUUGGACGGGGAAAACAGAAUUUCACGUGUAGCGGUGGAAUGCGUAGAUAUGUGAAGGAAUACCGGUGGCGAAGGCGGUUUUCUAGUUUAAACCUGACACUGAGGCGCGAAAACAAGGGUAGCAAACAGGAUUAGAUACCCUGGUAGUCCUUGCAGUAAACGAUGUAUACUUGAUGUAGCAGGACUCAAUCCCUGCUGUGUCGAAGCAAACGCGAUAAGUAUACCGCCUGAGGAGUACGCUCGCAAGUGUGAAACUCAAAAGAAUUGACGGGGACCCGCACAAGCAGUGGAGCAUGUGGUUUAAUUCGAUGCAACGCGAAGAACCUUACCCAGGCUUGACAUGCAGGUAGAUGUUUAAGAGAUUAAACAGCAUUUAGUUGGACCUGUGCAGGUGCUGCAUGGCUGUCGUCAGCUCGUGCCGUGAGGUGUUGGGUUAAGUCCCGCAACGAGCGCAACCCUUAUCGUUAGUUGCUAACAAGUAAAGUUGAGGACUCUAGCGAGACAGCCUAGGUUAACUAGGAGGAAGGUGAGGAUGACGUCAAGUCAGCAUGGCCCUUAUGUCUGGGGCUACACACGUGCUACAAUGGUAUGGACGGAAGGAGGCGAAGCCGAGAGGUGAGAGCAAACCCUAGAAACCAUAUCUCAGUUCGGAUUGUAGUCUGCAACUCGACUACAUGAAGUUGGAAUUGCUAGUAAUGGCGUGUCAGCAAUAACGCCGUGAAUACGUUCCCGGGUCUUGUACCCACCGCCCGUCACAUCAUGGGAGUUGGUAUUACCCGAAGUCGUUGACCUAACUAUUUAUAGGAGGAGGCGCCUAAGGUAAUGCGGAUGACUGGGAUGAAGUCGUAACAAGGUA
This 1524-nucleotide ribosomal RNA is filed under the name metagenome. RNAcentral's name for it is "bacterial SSU rRNA". It matches the Rfam family "Bacterial small subunit ribosomal RNA". The record is from RNAcentral.